UCUUAUAGAAUUCUGAAAC
RNAcentral lists this small RNA (19 nucleotides) under Arabidopsis thaliana (thale cress). Its description in RNAcentral is "ATSL301180". The record is from RNAcentral. Lineage: Eukaryota; Viridiplantae; Streptophyta; Magnoliopsida; Brassicales; Brassicaceae.